Molecule: ribosomal RNA, 435 nt
Filed under: Triticum aestivum (bread wheat)
Lineage: Eukaryota; Viridiplantae; Streptophyta; Magnoliopsida; Poales; Poaceae
Description: partial small subunit ribosomal RNA
Source: RNAcentral
AUGAAAGCAGUUAAACUGGGAUACAAAUGGUCUGUUGGGAAUGGUAGAUCUGUUAGGUUUUGGGAGGAUAUUUGGUUCGGUAACUCCCCACUUGCCACCCAGUUCUGGGAUUUGUAUUGUAUAGUUAAUGAUAAAAACAAAACCAUUGCAGAUACCUGGGAUGGAGAUAUUCUAAAAAUUUCCUUUAGAAGGAAUUUUGAUGAGGUGUUAAUGCAACAAUGGUUUGAUCUAGAAUCCUUUGCCAAAUCGAUUACUUUUACUGACCAGGAAGAUAAUUUGAUUUGGCAAUAUGAAUCUAGAGGCAUCUAUUCCUCUAAGUCUUUGUAUGCUAUUAUUAACUUUAGAGGGGGUGCAACCUAUUUACACGCCUGUGGUGUGGAGAUUGAAAGUACCACCCAAGGUGCAGGGUUUUCUUUGGUUGUUUUCACAGAAUAA